This 803-nucleotide small RNA is filed under the name Pan troglodytes (chimpanzee). RNAcentral describes it as "processed transcript". The record is from RNAcentral. Lineage: Eukaryota; Metazoa; Chordata; Mammalia; Primates; Hominidae.
CCUUGGGUCCUGCCGCACAGAGCGGCCUGUCUUUAUCAGAGGUCCCUCUGCCAGGGGGAGGGCCCCAGAGAAAACCAGAAAGAGGAAACCCAGUGGAGCGAAUGUAUCAAGACACAUUCUCCGACAACUUUUAUAAUAGACCCAUCCUUUCUCAUCGGAAUACCGUCUGGCUGUGCUACGAAGUGAAAACAAAGGGUCCCUCAAGGCCCCCUUUGGACGCAAAGAUCUUUCGAGGCCAGGUGUAUUCCAAACUUAAGUACCACCCAGAGAUGAGAUUCUUCCACUGGUUCAGCAAGUGGAGGAAGCUGCAUCGUGACCAGGAGUAUGAGGUCACCUGGUACAUAUCCUGGAGCCCCUGCACAAAGUGUACAAGGGAUGUGGCCACGUUCCUGGCCGAGGACCCGAAGGUUACCCUGACCAUCUUUGUUGCCCGCCUCUACUACUUCUGGGACCCAGAUUACCAGGAGGCUCUUCGCAGCCUGUGUCAGAAAAGAGACGGUCCGCGUGCCACCAUGAAGAUCAUGAAUUAUGACGAAUUUCAGCACUGUUGGAGCAAGUUCGUGUACAGCCAAAGAGAGCUAUUUGAGCCUUGGAAUAAUCUGCCUAAAUAUUAUAUAUUACUGCACAUCAUGCUGGGGGAGAUUCUCAGACACUCGAUGGAUCCACCCACAUUCACUUCCAACUUUAACAAUGAACUUUGGGUCAGAGGACGGCAUGAGACUUACCUGUGUUAUGAGGUGGAGCGCCUGCACAAUGACACCUGGGUCCUGCUGAACCAGCGCAGGGGCUUUCUAUGCAACCAG